CUUUUCUAGGGCCGCUUCCUGUGGCAUAUGGAGGUUCCCAGCUUAGGGGUCCAAUCAGAGCUGUAGCCGCCGGUCUAUACCAGAGCCACAGCAAUGUGGGAUCCGAGCCGUGUCUGCAACCUACGCCACAGCUCACGGCAACACCGGAUCCUUAACCCACUGAGCAAGGCCAGGGAUUGAACCCACAACCUCAUGGUUCCCUGUAGGAUUUGUUAACCACUGCGCCACAACGGGAACUCCACAUCAUCUAUUUUUGUCAUGGGUUGAUACCCAAAAGAUUUCCAAUUUAAAAUACAUCCCAACAGACCACAGUCAGGAACAGCAAUGCCAUUCUCAGGAGCCGACUCAUGUGAGUUUAAGAUUCCAAAGUUUGCUCAUCCUAAGCCUAAAACUAGUUUUGACUACAGUUGCUGAGGAACUCAGUUUCACCUAAUUUUUUAACAGAUAAGCCAAUCAGACAUAGAGGACAGGACAAAACAUAAACCCUAGGACCCAGAGGUGAAACCAGCCUAGAGACCAAGGGUCCAAGACUCGAACCCAACCUUGGCAGUCAGUUUCUGCCACUGGGAAGAGUGAUUUCAGGAAACCCUAUCCACACCUGUGUUCCCUGCACCCAGAAGUCUCUCGUUUUCUAUUAUAAAGGAACUCAACCUUCCCCAGUCACAGAAAAGGUGGCUGCCAAACCCAGAAGUCGCUAGUUUUCCACCAGAAGGAAUGCAACCUCCCAGUGGUAGAACUCAGAACCCCUGGGCUCGAACCCAGGGUGAAACGAGGAUCCCAACCCCAGUUGUGUGCGUCUUAAAUUCUGCUUUAAUCAAACGGGAGACUACUGCGAUAUCCGUACUUAUUACAGCAGCAGUUCUGGAUGCUACUCACCUGCCCCCCAACACCUCGGAAGUCUGAGGGUACUGAACAAAUCCGUUCAGGUCGCCACUUUGCCCACAGAGAGCCAGCUGGUGAGCAGUCUCUGAACCAGUAGACACCCAGCAGAUCCAUGUCUGACCAAGAGAACUCAACCAACAUGAGAAGACAACAAGUCCACUUCACUCCAGUGUGGCCAGCUCACUUUGUCCCUCCUCAGGGCACAUGCCCUACCAGGGUCACCAGAAAUUGUUGCUGGAUUCAACGGAUCCAUCUUUUGGAGUGCUCAGCCGAUGAACACACCAAGUGUAUCCCAUGAAAGCAGAAGCAUUUAUUACUGGUCACAAGUAAGGAGACAGGGAGAUAGCUUUCAAAGCAUUAUCUGGUUAACAGCAGGCGCUCAAUAAACGUUGCAUGAAUCAGUGUAUGAGCUGCCUUAGGACAGCAUCGAUGUGCCUAUGAGGCGGUCAUGGGUAGCACCUGUCGAGCUUCUGGCCUCAGUGUGGUCCAGAAGACGCUUCUUUGUGCCUGUGACUAUUUUCUCUGCAAAACGCAGGGAUUAGAAACAAAAGUCCCCAAUAAAGCUCAAAUUAUAGGAUUCUUGAGAAGGUGUCUGAAUGCAGGGCCCUCCAAACGAGCCAUCAGACAAUUGAGAAACAGGGGAAAUCACGUCUCCUGAAGCUUGUCGGAAGAGCCAGGUGGCAGGCCAAGUAGGGGUGGACAGAUAACAGACAGCAAAUGUCAGGUGGCGAUGGUGCCACAGCAGUUAGAGCCUCGAGCCUGAAGCUUGCAGCUCAGGCUUUUCUCUCGCUAGCUGCGCUGCACCGCGCACCUGGCUUAACCUUCUGAACUUACGUUUUAUAUUGGGGAUUGCGAGGGUGGGAUCAGGACUGCACCUCCGUGGCCCAGGGGUUGAGGGGACUGAAGGAAACCAUGCAGGUGGCCCAGAGUCGCCCUUGGCAAUGGCUCCGCGGGAGGCGUGACGCGGCGACAGC
Molecule: long non-coding RNA, 1856 nt
Filed under: Sus scrofa (pig)
Lineage: Eukaryota; Metazoa; Chordata; Mammalia; Artiodactyla; Suidae
Description: lncRNA (ENSSSCG00015066284.1)
Source: RNAcentral